This 253-nucleotide ribosomal RNA is filed under the name uncultured bacterium. RNAcentral describes it as "partial 16S ribosomal RNA". It matches the Rfam family "Bacterial small subunit ribosomal RNA", at positions 524 to 776 of the family's 1533-position model. The record is from RNAcentral.
UACGUAGGGUGCAGGCGUUAAUCGGAAUUACUGGGCGUAAAGCGUGCGCAGGCGGAUUCUUAAGUCAGAUGUGAAAGCCCCGGGCUUAACCUGGGAAUUGCGUUUGAAACUGGGAGACUGGAGUGUUGCAGAGGGGGGUGGAAUUCCACGUGUAGAAGUGAAAUGCGUAGAUAUGUGGAGGAACACCGAUGGCGAAGGCAGCCCACUGGGUCAACACUGACGCUGAGGCACGAAAGCGUGGGGAGCAAACAGG